This 890-nucleotide ribosomal RNA is filed under the name marine metagenome. RNAcentral's name for it is "bacterial SSU rRNA". It matches the Rfam family "Bacterial small subunit ribosomal RNA", at positions 614 to 1520 of the family's 1533-position model. The record is from RNAcentral.
CAAGAAAUGUCAUAGGAAACUAUUAAUCUAGAGGUCAUCAGAGGUAAGUGGAAUUCACGGAGUAGUGGUGAAAUGCGUAGAUACCGUGAGGAACACCAGAGGCGAAAGCGGCUUACUAGGAUGAACCUGACACUAAAGCGCGAAAGCGUGGGUAGCAAACCGGAUUAGAUACCCGGGUAGUCCACGCCAUAAACGAUGGAUACUAGUUAUAGGAGGCAUUGACCUUUCUGUAACGAAGCUAACGCAUUAAGUAUCCCGCCUGGGGAGUACGACCGCAAGGUUAAAACUCAAAGAAAUUGACGGGGGCCCGCACAAGCAGCGGAGCGUGUGGUUUAAUUCGAUGAUAAGCGAAGAACCUUACCAAGGCUUGAAAUAUAUCUGACAGCUAGUGAAAGCUAGUCUCCUUCGGGCAGAUAUACAGAUGUUGCAUGGCUGUCGUCAGCUCGUGCCGUGAGGUGUUGGGUUAAGUCCCGCAACGAGCGCAACCCUCAUCGUUAGUUACUAUGUCUAGCGAGACUGCCUCUAAAAAAGAGGAGGAAGGUGGGGAUGACGUCAAGUCAGCAUGGCUCUUACGCCUUGGGCUACACACACGCUACAAUGGCCAGUACAAAGGGCUGCAAAGGAGCGAUCCGGAGCUAAUCCCAUAAAGCUGGCCCCAGUUGGAAUUGCAGGCUGCAACUCGCCUGCAUGAACGCGGAGUUGCUAGUAAACGCAGGUCAGCACACUGCGUUGAAUACGUUCCCGGGCCUUGUACACACCGCCCGUCAAGUCAUGGAAGUAGAAAACACCUGAAGUCGUUGGGCUAACCCUUUUGGGAAGCAGACGCCGAAGGUGGGUUUUAUGACUGGGACUAAGUCGUAACAAGGUAGCUGUACCGGAAGGUGCGGCUG